UACGUAGGUGGCAAGCGUUGUCCGGAAUUAUUGGGCGUAAAGCGCGCGCAGGUGGUUCUUUAAGUCUGAUGUGAAAGCCCACGGCUCAACCGUGGAGGGUCAUUGGAAACUGGGGAACUUGAGUGCAGAAGAGGAUAGUGGAAUUCCAAGUGUAGCGGUGAAAUGCGUAGAGAUUUGGAGGAACACCAGUUGCGAAGGCGACUAUCCGGUCUGUAACUGACACUGAGGCGCGAAAGCGUGGGGAGCAAACAGG
This 253-nucleotide ribosomal RNA is filed under the name uncultured bacterium. Its description in RNAcentral is "partial 16S ribosomal RNA". It matches the Rfam family "Bacterial small subunit ribosomal RNA", at positions 524 to 776 of the family's 1533-position model. The record is from RNAcentral.